GAAGUCUCGUUCUUGUCCCCCAGGCUGGAGUGCAAUGGCAUGAUCUCAGCUCACUGCAACCUCUGCCUCCCGGGUUCAAGCAAUUCUCCUGUCUCAGCCUCCUGAGUAGCUGGAUUACAGAGUCUUUUCUAAGGCACCAACUACUUCCUUCAAGCAGCAGCCAGAGAUCUUUGCUUAAUGGCUGAGAAACACAGAGGAGAGACCCAGAGAGAAGGAGAAGGCCGCAUGAAGAUGGAGCAGAGACUGGAGUUAUUCAGCCAAGUCAAGGAAUGCCUGGAGCACCAGAAGCCGGAAGAGGCAAGGAAGGAUCCUCCCUUAGAGCAUUUGGAAGAGUGUGGCCCUGCCAACACCUUGACUUCAAACUUCUGGCCUCCAUAACUAUGAAAUAAAUUCUUGUUGUUUUAAGCC
This 408-nucleotide long non-coding RNA is filed under the name Homo sapiens (human). RNAcentral's name for it is "non-protein coding LINC01702:22". Lineage: Eukaryota; Metazoa; Chordata; Mammalia; Primates; Hominidae. The record is from RNAcentral.